RNAcentral lists this transfer RNA (72 nucleotides) under Acidimicrobiaceae bacterium. RNAcentral describes it as "tRNA-Arg". It matches the Rfam family "tRNA". Rfam says of the family: Transfer RNA (tRNA) molecules are approximately 80 nucleotides in length. Their secondary structure includes four short double-helical elements and three loops (D, anti-codon, and T loops). Lineage: Bacteria; Bacillati; Actinomycetota; Acidimicrobiia; Acidimicrobiales; Acidimicrobiaceae. The record is from RNAcentral. RNAcentral also lists the same sequence under 1 other name.
GCCCUCGUAGCUCAGAGGAUAGAGCAUCGGCCUCCGGAGCCGUGUGCGCAGGUUCGAAUCCUGCCGAGGGCG